RNAcentral lists this ribosomal RNA (478 nucleotides) under uncultured bacterium. Its description in RNAcentral is "partial 16S ribosomal RNA". It matches the Rfam family "Bacterial small subunit ribosomal RNA", at positions 28 to 523 of the family's 1533-position model. The record is from RNAcentral.
GACGAACGCUGGCGGCGUGCUUAACACAUGCAAGUCGAACGGUAAGGCCCUUCGGGGUACACGAGUGGCGAACGGGUGAGUAACACGUGGGUGAUCUGCCCUGCACUUCGGGAUAAGCCUGGGAAACCGGGUCUAAUACCGGAUAGGACUCCUGGCUUCAUGGUUGGGGGUGGAAAGCUUUUGCGGGGUGGGAUGGGCCCGCGGCCUAUCAGCUUGUUGGUGGGGUAAUGGCCUACCAAGGCGACGGCGGGUAGCCGGCCGGAGAGGGUGACCGGUCACACUGGGACUGAGAUACGGCCCAGACUCCUACGGGAGGCAGCAGUGGGGAAUAUUGCACAAUGGGCGCAAGCCUGAUGCAGCGACGCCGCGUGAGGGAUGACGGCCUUCGGGUUGUAAACCUCUUUCAGCUAUGACGAAGCGCAAGUGACGGUAGUAGCAGAAGAAGGACCGGCCAACUACGUGCCAGCCGCCGCAGUAA